CCUCUCUGCACCCUGGCCUCCAACUCACUUCUUCCUGCGGAUCUUGGGUUUCUUCACAGGCCGCAGAUAGGGGUUAUCGAUGAUGUUCUCCUCCCCGUUCCGGCUCCCCGACAAGGAAGGGUUCUGCUGCAGGACAGAGGUGUUCUCCUUCUCAGCUCCAGAAUCAUCCUUUGAGCAAAAGCCGAAAUAAAGCAAAAUACCAAAUGGCAUAAGGAAAGAGAUCAUGCCCACGACGAAAGGAGGCCAGGCAGCGGCUGCUAUCAGAGGAAGGCGAGAGCACCAGCUUUGACACAGUGGAGCACAGAACACCAGACCCUGAACCUCUUCAGAAGGCAGGAACAGGAGUUAGAAGGAACAGAGAGCUGGGAGGGGCAGAGUCAGGGGCUACAAUUUAGACGCUUCAGGGAGGAAGCCCAGCCUGUGCGGAGACAAAGAAAAAGAGAAGUGGCUCCCGAUGCCCUGCAGGACUGAGAGGUACAGGACUGAAACAGAUCAUGUGCAUAGGGCACCCCCUGGACCAAAGCUCGUGUAAAUCAUAAUCGAUUUUCCCGCAAAUUCUCAAAUAUCUGGUACUUGCAACAUGGUACAAAUGAUCAUAUCCCAGCAGAGGCCAGAAGCUGCUCAAGCCCCGAGAGCUCCCAUGAAGGCGAAGCAGCACACGCAGGCACCAACACAGAGCGUCCUCCACCAUCUCCGUCUGCAGCCCGUGGAUCAGGCCUUUUGCUGUUCGCUUUUUGAGGAAAGUGAUUUUGGAGAAAAGCUUAUACGUUUGAAUAUAUUCAAUAUGAUCUCAGAUAAAGAUUUUUUAAAAAUCACAAUGGGAUGUAGACAUAGAAAA
This is a long non-coding RNA of Balaenoptera ricei (Rice's whale), 838 nucleotides long. RefSeq lists it as uncharacterized. The record is from RefSeq and is a predicted model, not a curated record. NCBI's taxonomy places the organism in Eukaryota, Metazoa, Chordata, Mammalia, Artiodactyla, Balaenopteridae. The transcript has 2 exons.